UAGCUCAGAGGAUAAAGCAUCUGCCUGCAAUGCAGGAGACCGGGGUUCGAUCCCUG
RNAcentral lists this transfer RNA (56 nucleotides) under Ovis aries (sheep). It matches the Rfam family "tRNA", at positions 8 to 63 of the family's 71-position model. Rfam says of the family: Transfer RNA (tRNA) molecules are approximately 80 nucleotides in length. Their secondary structure includes four short double-helical elements and three loops (D, anti-codon, and T loops). The record is from Rfam by way of RNAcentral. Lineage: Eukaryota; Metazoa; Chordata; Mammalia; Artiodactyla; Bovidae.